Molecule: long non-coding RNA, 245 nt
Filed under: Elaeis guineensis (African oil palm)
Lineage: Eukaryota; Viridiplantae; Streptophyta; Magnoliopsida; Arecales; Arecaceae
Description: long non-coding RNA (EGUI_LNC079993)
Source: RNAcentral
UUGCGCUACAUCUGGAUCCAUGCCAAUUUCUCCACAUCUAAUUGGAUUUCGGUUAUGAUUUUUGACAUUAUGAGAGAGGAUCCACUAAAGGUGGUUAGCUAUAGCUGAUGAGUAAUAAUAUUAUCUCUUGCCUAAUUCGAAUGCGAUCCAAAUUAGAGAUAAGAUGCAGACUAGGAAAGAGAUUUUUUGUAUAUGGUAUAUUAUUGGAGUCAUAUUUUUUUUUCUUAUUUUUCUUAAGAAAUACU